RNAcentral lists this ribosomal RNA (425 nucleotides) under uncultured bacterium. RNAcentral describes it as "partial 16S ribosomal RNA". It matches the Rfam family "Bacterial small subunit ribosomal RNA", at positions 354 to 796 of the family's 1533-position model. The record is from RNAcentral.
GUGGGGAAUCUUGCGCAAUGGGCGAAAGCCUGACGCAGCCAUGCCGCGUGGAUGAUGAAGGUCUUAGGAUUGUAAAAUCCUUUCACCGGUGAAGAUAAUGACUGUAGCCGGAGAAGAAGCCCCGGCUAACUUCGUGCCAGCAGCCGCGGUAAUACGAAGGGGGCUAGCGUUGCUCGGAUUUACUGGGCGUAAAGGGCGCGUAGGCGGACAUUUAAGUCAGGGGUGAAAUCCCGGGGCUCAACCUUGGAAUUGCCUUUGAUACUGGCUGUCUUGAGUUUGGGAGAGGUGAGUGGAACUCCGAGUGUAGAGGUGAAAUUCGUAGAUAUUCGGAAGAACACCAGUGGCGAAGGCGACUCACUGGCCCAAUACUGACGCUGAGGCGCGAAAGCGUGGGGAGCAAACAGGAUUAGAAACCCGGGUAGUCC